UUCGCCUUGUGCCAGCAGCCGCGKUAAUACGUAGGACCUAAGCGUUAUCCGGAAUCACUGGGCGUAAAGCGAUCGAAGGCGGACCAGUAAGUCUGAUGUUAAAUACCCACGGCUCAACCGGGGUGCUGCGUUGGAAACUGCUGGCCUAGAGUAAGACAGAGGUAGCUGGAAUUCUUGUUGUAGGGGUUAAAUCCGUAGAUAACAAGAGGAACACCAAAAGCGAAGGCAUGCUACUGGGUCUUUACUGACGCUGCGCGAUCGAAAGCGUGGGGAGCGAAAGGGAUUAGAUACCCCUGUAGUCCACGCCGUAAACGAUGAAUGCUCGGCGUUCGAUUUUUAAUCGAUUGAGUGCCUAAGCUAACGCGUUAAGCAUUCCGCCUGAAGAGUACGACCGCAAGGUUAAAACUCAAAGGAAUAGACGGGGAUCCACACAAGCGGUGGAGCAUGUGGUUUAAUUCGACAAUAAGCGGGGAACCUUACCAGGACUUGACAUCUUCGGAAUUUGCUGGAAACAGCGAAGUGCCUUCGGGAACCGAAUGACAGGUGUUGCAUGGUUGUCGUCAGCUCGUGCCUUGAGGUGUUCGGUUAAGUCCGUUAACGAGCGCAACCCUCGCCGUAUGUUGUAUUGUUCAUACGGGACUGCCGGUUUUACACCGGAGGAAGGUGAGGAUGACGUCAAAUCAGCAUGGCCCUUAUGUCCUGGGCGACACACGUGCUACAAUGGUCGGUACAAAGGGCAGCAAAGCGGUAACGUGGAGCAAAUCCCAAAAAGCCGAUCUUAGUUCGGAUUGAGGGCUGCAACCCGCCCUCAUGAAGCUGGAAUCGCUAGUAACCGUAGAUCAGCCAUGCUACGGUGAAUAUGUUCCUGGAUCUUAUACUCACCGCCCGUCAAGGGCGAAU
This 900-nucleotide ribosomal RNA is filed under the name uncultured candidate division GN07 bacterium. RNAcentral describes it as "bacterial SSU rRNA". It matches the Rfam family "Bacterial small subunit ribosomal RNA", at positions 497 to 1408 of the family's 1533-position model. The record is from RNAcentral.